Molecule: long non-coding RNA, 1652 nt
Organism: Papaver somniferum (opium poppy)
Lineage: Eukaryota; Viridiplantae; Streptophyta; Magnoliopsida; Ranunculales; Papaveraceae
Exons: 7
Source: RefSeq, a predicted model, not a curated record
CUCUCAACAAAACCCCAGCUCCUCUGUGGCCGCAUUCACUCACCACCACCACCACCACUGAAUCUCUUCUCUUUCACAACAAAACCCUAGCUCUGCUCUGCGGCCGCAUUCACCCACCACCACCACCACCACCACCACCACUGAAUCUCUUCUCUUUCACUCUCUUUAUACUAAAAGAUUGCUGAAUCUUUAGAUUUGAUCUCUCUAAGUAAAAACCCUAACACCGCUGUUGAGGACGAUUUGAAUCACAAAGAAAACUGCAGUUGAGGAGUUAUUCGAUAUUAUAAGUGUGGUUAGGGUUAUCAAUCUCGAGGAGUCAUCUUCAUCAAACCAUACUUGGUGGCAUUAAAAGAGGUUCAAGAAGAGAGUGAUUGCUGAGUAUGUUUGUGGAGCAUGAAUGUGAAAAAAUAUACUGGCUUAUGGAGCUAUACAUACGAUAUUCCGAUAGAGUUGAAGCAGAGACGGAAAGAGUGAGAGAUGGAUGAGGAUGAGCAACGACUGAAAACUGGAAUCUGGAUUGUACACUCUUCAGGUCAGUUUUGCUCUUGCUUUCAGGUCAGUUGAACACAUAUCCAGUUCAUUGUCUAGAAUGUAAAGCCAUAACUGCUGAAUUUGUGUUUUAUUUAUUGAGGAAGUAAUGAAAUAAGUUUGAUGAAAAUUAUUUGGUUCAGAGUGCAUUUUUUCUAUGUACGUAACUUGAUCUCUCCAAUUUGGAAAACUGAAAGUGAUCUAUCAUGUAUAUUUCAUUGCCAUCGGCUAUAUUUGGAUCUGAACUUAACUAGUCUAACUGUCUCUUUUUGUACAAAAAUAUGUUAUUGGUUGAAUAUUGUUUAACUCAGUUUGAAUUUUAUCUCCAGGGAAUAAGUUUGGAUGCAUAAUAUGUUUGUUCAAUAAUCUGAUAACUUAUAAUUUCACAUGUCCUGUUUGGUAUCCAAGUGAGCAUAACACGUACGCAGAUGUAUAUAAGUGCUUAGAAGAAAUCUAGGGCGCAAAACAGGAAGUGGUCUCACGCUGGAUCCUAACAGCUCGUUUACCUCAAUUAAGAGUCGCUGUUCUCCAGCCCCAUACUAUCAGACUUGUAUCUUGUAAAGCGGACAUACUGGUUUGACAUCUACAAGGUUGUAUUUCUAUACUCAACUAUUUAAUUUUUCUUUCUUUCUAGUGACUUGCGUAAUUAUUCCCGUUGUAUGUCUGAGCUUUUCUUUCCCUCUUGUUUAUGUGCAUAACAUUGACAAUACCUCGUUAGUUAGCUGUCCUGUGCUAACAAUUCAUGGAACAUCUGAUGAAGUUGUCGACUGUUCACAUGGGAAGCAAUUUUGGGAAUUGUGUAAAGAGAAGUAUGAACCUCUAUGAUAUCCUGUGCUAACAAUUCAUGGAACAUCUGAUGAAGUUGUUGACUGUUCACAUGGGAAGCAAUUUUGGGAAUUGUGUAAAGAGAAGUAUGAACCUCUAUUCUGAGUACACUGGCACCUCAGGAAGUUUGUCCAUAGUUAUUUUUUAUUUUAAAAAAAUCGUUGCUUUAAUCAUGUAAUACUUUGCCAUGACAUCUAGGUAAAACUGUAGUUCUAAAUGUCAAAAAAGGCAAACAAAAUCUCACUAUAAUUAUGUCAGUUCCAAUUCUAGCUUCCAAUGACCAUCCCUUGUUUUCUUUA